This 274-nucleotide ribosomal RNA is filed under the name uncultured bacterium. RNAcentral's name for it is "partial 16S ribosomal RNA". It matches the Rfam family "Bacterial small subunit ribosomal RNA", at positions 523 to 796 of the family's 1533-position model. The record is from RNAcentral.
AUACAGAGGGUGCGAGCGUUAAUCGGAAUUACUGGGCGUAAAGCGCGCGUAGGCGGUUAUUUAAGUCAGAUGUGAAAUCCCUGGGCUCAACCUAGGAACUGCAUCUGAAACUGGGUAACUAGAGUUUAGGAGAGGGGAGUAGAAUUUCGGGUGUAGCGGUGAAAUGCAUAGAGAUCCGAAGGAAUACCAGUGGCGAAGGCGACUUCCUGGCCAAAAACUGACGCUGAGGUGCGAGAGCGUGGGUAGCAAACGGGAUUAGAAACCCUAGUAGUCC